AUUCCAGGAAGCGUUUGCACAUCCUGGCCCCAGAGGAUUUUGCAUAGCCUCACCGAGAGAAGAAGUUGGAAAGAAAAAAAAAAAGAGAGAAGAAGUUGGCAAGGCAUCCAGAGGAGAUCACCACCCCCCCGCCCAGCACCUGGGUUCUCUGCCAGGGGAGAAAGUUAUCAAGAAGACUGGAGCAGGCAGUCCAGGGCUGAUACAGCUGCUCCAAUCACCAGAGAUGCAAUCUCCUGCUAGAUGUCUUCACAUCUACCUUUCUAUGUCACAUGUGCAAGAUAGCUGCUCUGCCUCCAGACAUCACAUUUACAUUCCAGGCAGAAAGGAGAAGGAAAGAGCAAAAGAUGUGUUCCGAACAAAUCCAUCUUAAAAACAAACAAACAAAGGGAGGGGUGGCAGGAGAAAAUUUAAAAAAAGAAGAAGAAAAACAAACAAACAAAAACAGGAAAGCCGUUGUUUCCCUAAAAGCCCCACCAAGCCGACUUCUACUGAUGACUCAUUACCCAAACAGUCAUGUGGCCAUCGCUGGAUUCAAGGCAGUCUGGGGAGGUGAGUGCUUCAAAGAGGCACAUGGAUGCCACAGACAAAUUCAGGUUUCCGUGGUUGAAGGAGAAGAGGACGAUGGAGUUUGGGGAGGCAGCCGGCUACGUCUGCCACAGAAGAUAUCAAGACACAGAGCCACACGAGAAGAUGGGAGAGGCUGCCAAGAAAGGCCACUGGGUACCAGUGAGGAGCGGGUGACACUGGAGUUGCUCCAUCUGAGGAGCUCACACCUGCAGUGGCUUGUGCUCCUGUUCCUGUGGGUAUAGGCACAAGGCUGAUGCUGAGAGAGUGAGUUGUUUCUGUUGGGGUUCAGAACACAAUGCCCCAAAGUAUGGUGCUGAGUACUUAACUAAAAGACAUUGGAAGGCCUCAGAAGCAGCCUCAGAUCCAAGGUCCCUCUGACCUGCUCCUGCCCUCCUGUCUCUCUCAUCCCUCAUUCUCCCCUGAAGUGAGUCAUAGAAACCAGAAUCCUCUUCCCCAAGGCAGGUCCUAGAAACUAGAACCCUUCUUCCCCGAAGCAAAAGCCAUAAAAACUGGAAUUAUUACUCUAAACUCUCCCUGACUUUCUGUCCAGAAGAUGGCCAUAAAGAAAUUCUCAGCUAGGUGUGGUGGCUCGUAUCUGUCAUCCCAGCACUUUAAGAGGCCAAGGUGGGAGGAUCACUUGAGGCCAGGAGUUUGAGAUUGGCCUGGGCAACAUAGUAAGACCCCCAUCUCUACAAAACUUUUUUUUUUAAACUUAGCUAAGCGUGGUGGUACACCUGUAGUCUCAGCUACUUAGGAGGCUGAGGUGGGAGGGGCCCCGAUCUGGCUGUUACUGCUUUAUCACAGGGAGUGCCUAUCUGUGGGCUGCUUUCUACACAUCAAAGCAUUUUCAGAAAGGGCCAACAUCAGCCUUGGAAAAAAGGAGGAAGGGCCAUGGAGAGUCUCCCUCUCUAUCUUCCCCUUAUCCGUGAUGUGAGAGUGCACAUGCCUGUGUGCACAUACACACAACACACACACACACACCCCACAGACACACAGGGUCGAGAAUCUGCUGGGCAGAACUUAAGCCACUGAAUGUUUCAGUAGGAAUCAUGAUAUCUAAAAAUAGGACAGCUGAUAGGUUAAGGGGGUUCUUACUACUCACAGUUCCUGAAAUUAUAUGCAAUUGCAUUUUGGAAACUCAACAAAUAAACAGCAAGUAUAGAAUUAAGGAAUCAAAGUUUGGUGAAGUUCAAAGAAGCUGAUGUUACAAGAGUAAACAGAGAGGAAGCCGGGCACGGUGGCUCACGCCUGUAAUCCCAGAACUUUGGGAGGCCAAGACAAGCAGAUAACUUGAGGUCGAGAGUUCAAGACCAGCCUGGCCAACAUGGUGAAACCCUGUUCUCUACUAAAAAUACAAAAAUUAGCUGGGCGUGGUGGCAGGCACCUGCAAUCCCAGCUACGUGGGAGGCUGAAGCAGGAGAAUCGCUUAACCUGGGAGACAGGGGUUGUAGUGAGUCGAGAUCACACCACUGCACUCCAGCCUGGGCAACAGAGCGAGACUCCCUCUCAAAAAAA
RNAcentral lists this long non-coding RNA (2082 nucleotides) under Pongo abelii (Sumatran orangutan). RNAcentral's name for it is "lincRNA". The record is from RNAcentral. Lineage: Eukaryota; Metazoa; Chordata; Mammalia; Primates; Hominidae.